Peromyscus eremicus (cactus mouse) is the source of this 1506-nucleotide long non-coding RNA. RefSeq lists it as uncharacterized. The record is from RefSeq and is a predicted model, not a curated record. The transcript is spliced from 3 exons. NCBI's taxonomy places the organism in Eukaryota, Metazoa, Chordata, Mammalia, Rodentia, Cricetidae.
ACCGAGGCUCUGCAAACUCAGAACUCUAUAAACGUGACCACGCGCCGGGCUCCAGCAGGCAGGCCGGUAAAAAGCCCAAGUCGUUAAGGAGAAACACGGUCUAGGGGAGAGAGCCAGGUGGGGUCGGGACAGCGUCGCCCCGCGCUCCCCGCCGCAGCCCGCCGCGGUCGCGCCUGAGGGAGGAGGGCGCCCCCGAGGGAGGCCAGCGCCGGAGCCCGGGGACCCUACCUCUCCGCAAUGUAGAGGGUGCCGGUGCCGAGCCCCUUCCCGUUCAGCACGGCCUCGGUGUCUGGCUGCUGCAGCCGGAGCCCGUCUUCCGACGUAGGCGGCGGGAAGCUUUUGAGGAAGCUCAUUGCGGGUGAAAGCAGAGGUCCGCAGGACCCGAGAAAGCCGAUCCCCACAACCCCAGAGCGCAUGAGCUGCUCCGGAAGCAGUAGCCGUACCCCGGAAGAACAACUUCCUCCGCGCAGGAUUCAUUCGGCCGGCCGUUGACCAUAGAGAUGGGACAGUCUAGACGAGCCGGAGGUCCGUGGUGAUCGAGCGGGCGUCGGCCACGUGAUGCGGCCCCCUCCUUCCCCAGCUCCUCGGAGGAGGCUGAGAAUAACCGAGUGUUUUCGCUGUGGUUCCAUUUCAAGGUCAUCACAGCAAACCCUGCGAGAGUAUGAGCAAUACGAUGCCUUUCCCAGCAAAAGCGGGAACGGGCCUAGGACCUGGGAGUCCCUCACCUGAGGAGGACACACAGAAAAUAGAAUGCACACUCACCUGGAGGUCCGCAGUCUCCCGGUUGGGUGCACGAGUCUCCCCUGCUCCCGCCUGUCUCAUCCGGCCUGUUGUCACCCGGUUCACACAGCCAUUCACCAGGCCUCCGUCUUGGUGCUCCCGUCGCCCCAUCCCCCGUGUCACGCCACAGGAGCACAAAGAGGUUGUGUUAAGUGAACGAAAGCUCGGCAAGACAGUCAAAAGACAGCGCCGAAGGGAAAGGUGGCCACUGAUCCGGAACUCUUGAAUUACGUGCUCGCUAGGCCCCAAAGAAUAAGAGCAGUGAAGACCUAGAGGCUUAGCAAGUAGACACCCGUAACCGAGGGCUAUGUACCACACAGCGUUGCUAUCACUAUCAAGAUCAUUAAGUCGCCGGCGUUUCUUCCUGCGAGCAGCAGCUGCCCUCUGAGGCCGUUUAUUUUCUUUUCGUUCUUCAUCCAAAAUGGUAGAGAUGUCUUUCCCACGGUGACCUGUGAUGGUGGAGAUAUCUUUUCCUCGGCCAACUCCUGAGAGGAAGAGGGAAGAAGAAGAAACACACUGCAGACACAUGGGCUAUGCAUUUUACAAUGCAAAUUAAGGUCCUGGUGGAGCCGGAAGACAAGGAUGCAUAUCCAGAAUGACAUCUCCAUGGGUUUCCUCUCCAAUGGAAAAAUCAAAAACAAACAAACAAACAAACAAAUGCCCUGUUUAUUUUAAUUAAAAAAUAAUAACAAAUAGCUCUAAACAACAGAUGCUUGCUCUGGUCAU